Molecule: ribosomal RNA, 468 nt
Filed under: uncultured bacterium
Lineage: Bacteria
Description: partial 16S ribosomal RNA
Rfam family: Bacterial small subunit ribosomal RNA
Source: RNAcentral
GACGAACGCUGGCGGCGUACUUAACACAUGCAAGUCGAACGGAAAGGCCCUGCUUUUGUGGGGUGCUCGAGUGGCGAACGGGUGAGUAACACGUGGGUAACCUGCCCUUGACUUUGGGAUAACUUCAGGAAACUGGGGCUAAUACCGGAUAGGAGCUCCUGCUGCAUGGUGGGGGUUGGAAAGUUUCGGCGGUUGGGGAUGGACUCGCGGCUUAUCAGCUUGUUGGUGGGGUAGUGGCUUACCAAGGCUUUGACGGGUAGCCGGCCUGAGAGGGUGACCGGCCACAUUGGGACUGAGAUACGGCCCAGACUCCUACGGGAGGCAGCAGUGGGGAAUAUUGCACAAUGGGCGGAAGCCUGAUGCAGCAACGCCGCGUGCGGGAUGACGGCCUUCGGGUUGUAAACCGCUUUCGCCUGUGACGAAGCGUGAGUGACGGUAAUGGGUAAAGAAGCACCGGCUAACUACGUG